Molecule: ribosomal RNA, 374 nt
Filed under: uncultured bacterium
Lineage: Bacteria
Description: bacterial SSU rRNA
Rfam family: Bacterial small subunit ribosomal RNA
Source: RNAcentral
GGCGACGACGGGUAGCCGGCCUGAGAGGGUGACCGGCCACACUGGGACUGAGAUACGGCCCAGACUCCUACGGGAGGCAGCAGUGGGGAAUAUUGCACAAUGGGCGCAAGCCUGAUGCAGCGACGCCGCGUGAGGGAUGACGGCCUUCGGGUUGUAAACCUCUUUCGCCAGGGACGAAGCGCAAGUGACGGUACCUGGAGAAGAAGGACCGGCCAACUACGUGCCAGCAGCCGCGGUAAUACGUAGGGUCCGAGCGUUGUCCGGAAUUACUGGGCGUAAAGAGCUCGUAGGUGGUUUGUCGCGUUGUUCGUGAAAACUCACAGCUCAACUGUGGGCGUGCGGGCGAUACGGGCAGACUGGAGUACUGCAGGGGA